Molecule: ribosomal RNA, 533 nt
Filed under: uncultured archaeon
Lineage: Archaea
Description: bacterial SSU rRNA
Rfam family: Archaeal small subunit ribosomal RNA
Source: RNAcentral
CAAGGCAUACCGCUCAGUAACACGUAGUCAAUCUAACCUAUGGACGGGGAUAACCUCGGGAAACUGAGAAUAAUACCCGAUAGAACAUUAUGCCUGGAAUGGUUUAUGUUUAAAAUGAUUCGUUCGCCGUAGGGUGGGACUGCGGCCUAUCAGUUUGUUGGUGAGGUAAUGGCCCACCAAGACUAUUACAGGUACGGGCCCCGAGAGGGGUAGCCCGGAGAUGGGUACUGAGACACGGACCCAGGCCCUAUGGGGCGCAGCAGGCGAGAAAACUUUGCAAUGUGCGAAAGCACGACAAGGUUAAUCCGAGUGGUUCCUGCUAAAGGAACCUUUUGUCAGUCGUAAAACCACUAAUGAAUAAGGGGUGGGCAAGUUCUGGUGUCAGCCGCCGCGGUAAAACCAGCACCUCAAGUGGUCAGGAUGAUUAUUGGGCCUAAAGCAUCCGUAGCCUGGUGCAUAAGUUUUCGGUUAAAUCCAUAUGCUCAACAUAUGGGCCGCCGGGAAUACUGUGCACCUAGGGAGUGGGAGAGGUA